UAGGGAAUCUUCCGCAAUGGACGAAAGUCUGACGGAGCAACGCCGCGUGAGUGAAGAAGGAUUUCGGUUCGUAAAACUCUGUUGUUAGGGAAGAAAAAAUGUAUAGUAACUAUAUACAAACGAGACGGUACCUAACCAGAAAGCCACGGCUAACUACGUGCCAGAAGCCGCGGUAAUACGUAGGUGGCAAGCGUUGUCCGGAAUUAUUGGGCGUAAAGCGCGCGCAGGUGGUUUAGAAAGUCUGAUGUGAAAGCCCACGGCUCAACCGUGGAGGGUCAUUGGAAACUAAUAAACUUGAGUGCAGGAGAGAAAAGUGGAAUUCCUAGUGUAGCGGUGAAAUGCGUAGAGAUUAGGAGGAACACCGGUGGCGAAAGCGGCUUUUUGGCCUGCAACUGACACUGAGGCGCGAAAGCGUGGGGAGCAAACAGG
This 429-nucleotide ribosomal RNA is filed under the name Verrucomicrobiota bacterium. Its description in RNAcentral is "Verrucomicrobia bacterium partial 16S ribosomal RNA". It matches the Rfam family "Bacterial small subunit ribosomal RNA", at positions 355 to 776 of the family's 1533-position model. Lineage: Bacteria; Pseudomonadati; Verrucomicrobiota. The record is from RNAcentral.